RNAcentral lists this long non-coding RNA (269 nucleotides) under Lathyrus oleraceus (garden pea). RNAcentral describes it as "Pisum sativum (pea) long non-coding RNA (PSAT_LNC013765)". The record is from RNAcentral. Lineage: Eukaryota; Viridiplantae; Streptophyta; Magnoliopsida; Fabales; Fabaceae.
UUUAAUUCAUAUAAAUUUCAUUUUUAAUCCAAAAAAUAUGGGACUUUCACCAAAAAUCUUUAAAUAUUUUUCUCUUCUAUAUUUUGAAUUAAAAUUAUUAUUUUUGGAUUAAUUUUUAUAUUUUUCAUGAAUUAAAUGAUUUUUGAUUUGUUUUUAAUAUUUUAAAAAUACUUCUGACUUUCCAAAAAUCAUGAAAUUUUGGGUCUAAGGUCCUUUGACCUUGUUUGACCUAGGAUAAAUCUCUUGGCAAUUUAUUUGGUGUUUUGAAG